UACGGGGGGGGCAAGCGUUGUUCGGAAUUACUGGGCGUAAAGGGCUCGUAGGCGGCCAACUAAGUCGGAUGUGAAAUCCCCAGGCUUAACCUGGGAACUGCAUCCGAUACUGGAUGGCUUGAAUCCGGGAGAGGGAUGCAGAAUUCCAGGUGUAGCGGUGAAAUGCGUAGAUAUCGGAAGGAACACCAGUGGCGAAAGCGGCUUCCUGGUCCAGCACCGACGUUCAGGCACGAAAGCGUGGGGAGCAAACAGG
This 253-nucleotide ribosomal RNA is filed under the name uncultured bacterium. RNAcentral describes it as "partial 16S ribosomal RNA". It matches the Rfam family "Bacterial small subunit ribosomal RNA", at positions 524 to 776 of the family's 1533-position model. The record is from RNAcentral.